RNAcentral lists this ribosomal RNA (195 nucleotides) under uncultured bacterium. RNAcentral describes it as "partial 16S ribosomal RNA". It matches the Rfam family "Bacterial small subunit ribosomal RNA", at positions 326 to 539 of the family's 1533-position model. The record is from RNAcentral.
ACGCUCGACACCUACGGGCAGCAGUGGGGAAUAUUGCACAAUGGGGGGAACCCUGAUGCAGCGACGCCGCGUGAGUGAAGAAGUACUUCGGUAUGUAAAGCUCUAUCAGCAGGGAAGAAAAUGACGGUACCUGACUAAGAAGCCCCGGCUAACUACGUGCCAACAGCCGCGGUAAUCUGAGCGGGCUGGCAAGGC